AGAACGAACGCUGGCGGCAGGCUUAACACAUGCAAGUCGAACGCCCCGCAAGGGGAGUGGCAGACGGGUGAGUAACGCGUGGGAAUCUACCCAGUUCUACGGAAUAACACAGGGAAACUUGUGCUAAUACCGUAUACGCCCUACGGGGGAAAGAUUUAUCGGGAUUGGAUGAGCCCGCGUAAGAUUAGCUAGUUGGUGGGGUAAUGGCCUACCAAGGCGACGAUCUUUAGCUGGUCUGAGAGGAUGAUCAGCCACACUGGGACUGAGACACGGCCCAGACUCCUACGGGAGGCAGCAGUGGGGAAUAUUGGACAAUGGGCGCAAGCCUGAUCCAGCCAUGCCGCGUGAGUGAUGAAGGCCUUAGGGUUGUAAAGCUCUUUCAGUGGGAAGAUAAUGACGGUACCCACAGAAGAAGCCCGGCUAACUUCGUGCCAGCAGCCGC
RNAcentral lists this ribosomal RNA (442 nucleotides) under uncultured bacterium. RNAcentral's name for it is "SSU rRNA". It matches the Rfam family "Bacterial small subunit ribosomal RNA", at positions 26 to 518 of the family's 1533-position model. The record is from RNAcentral.